RNAcentral lists this small RNA (38 nucleotides) under Arabidopsis thaliana (thale cress). RNAcentral describes it as "ATSL297850". The record is from RNAcentral. Lineage: Eukaryota; Viridiplantae; Streptophyta; Magnoliopsida; Brassicales; Brassicaceae.
CAUCUUAUAAUUCCAUCUCCUUAGAUCUCUUCCCAAAU